RNAcentral lists this long non-coding RNA (1447 nucleotides) under Lupinus angustifolius (narrow-leaved blue lupine). Its description in RNAcentral is "long non-coding RNA (LANG_LNC001335)". Lineage: Eukaryota; Viridiplantae; Streptophyta; Magnoliopsida; Fabales; Fabaceae. The record is from RNAcentral.
UGGUUUUGUGAGUAUAUUAAUAUGGCAAAUUUCAAACAUAUAGUAUCCUUAUUUGAGUGUAAUGGCGUUUUAUAUCAAAUAGUGCUAUAAUCUAGGACAUUUAUUUUGCUGCGCCACAUAUCAUCAAGGGGCGUUAAAAUCAUAUUGUGCAUCUGAAUCAAGGAAAUCAAAUAUUCCCCCUUAACUUCCUCUAAUGCCUUAAAGGGAAGGACUUCCUCUUUUGCUAUAAAAGGCACCACGUUCAUACAUAGAAGGACAGAGAGAAAAAAGAACACUUGAUAUAUAAGUAAAAAGCAACUCAAAGAGGGAGAACUAAGGCAAUAAAACAAAGGAUAGGAAAUACGAGUAACAUAACAGUAAGUAGCACACGAUCAGUACUGAUACAAAUAAAGAACAAAAUAUAUAUACAUCUAGAAAGGGACAAGGGAUACUUCAGCUCUCAACCGGUUGCACAACAUUGGUAUGUAGGAGACAUGCAAGUAUAAGGCAAGCAAUAGCAGUAUCUGAAAAUCCAGGUUAGUACUUGUUACUGCAUCCUUAAGAAUCCUCAUAUAACAUCAUUCCAAUUGUUAAGAAAGAUUCAAUAAAAUCACAUCCAUAAGCAUGUUUUGCUAUUUGUAACAUAGAUACUCAUAUCAUAAACAACUUCGGCACUUAGUAAUCACAAGCAUGCUAGAACUAAAAAAUCUAAAAAAAAAUCAAAAAACAUAUUCAUAAACAGCCACCCCAUAUGUCCAUAAACAUUCUUUUCUAUCCUCUAAAAAACAAAGACAUCUAACUAUCUUAACCAACAAUGUAUUUUUUUUUUAAAUUAGUAAAAGAACCAAAAACAAUACUCUGCAAGUUUGCUAUUCUUAUAUUCAACAAAUAAAAGAAAACUACAAUCUUAAUUUACACCACAGCGGGGCUUUGUGAAGUUGAUCUUUUUUAACCCGGUUUCUAUUGCGUUAAAACUCAUCACACCCAAACGAAUCAAUGGCUGAUCCAAACCAGAAUGGAUAAGGGAAGGCCAUACGUACCCUCCAUAAUCAGUGAUGGGGGAAGCCAUAAGCUUCACCGAAAACGCGCAUGGGACCAUUUCGGUCUCACGAAGAAGAAGGAUGGUCGAGUCUUACCUAUGUUUAAGAGAUGUGGUAGGAGGUUGGUGAAGUACUGAGGGAUUUUCCGGUGUGACGAUCGAAGAAGAAGAAGUUGGUUCUACUCUAACGGCCCCUUGCUGCAAGACGCGACUACUACUAUGACGAUCAAAGCCUCGCCCUUCGUCUUGGCUUCUGACGGCAGCACUGAUGCCUUCGUCCAUUAGAACUCACUGUCAAGGUCUUCAUGGAGGUGGGUGCUCCAAACUUAGAACCCUUCCUCCUCAAUCCCCCUAAUCCCUAACCUAAGGAAAUGGAAUCCGUAUUCAAUAAAAAUGAGAAUGCCAACUUUACUAAGCCUUUUCUUUUUU